UGGGGAAUAUUGCACAAUGGGCGCAAGCCUGAUGCAGCAACGCCGCGUGAGGGAUGACGGCCUUCGGGUUGUAAACCUCUUUUAGCAGGGAAGAAGCGAAAGUGACGGUACCUGCAGAAAAAGCACCGGCUAACUACGUGCCAGCAGCCGCGGUAAUACGUAGGGUGCAAGCGUUGUCCGGAAUUAUUGGGCGUAAAGAGCUCGUAGGCGGUCUGUCGCGUCUGCUGUGAAAUCCCGAGGCUCAACCUCGGGCCUGCAGUGGGUACGGGCAGACUAGAGUGCGGUAGGGGAGAAUGGAACUCCUGGUGUAGCGGUGGAAUGCGCAGAUAUCAGGAAGAACACCGAUGGCGAAGGCAGUUCUCUGGGCCGUAACUGACGCUGAGGAGCGAAAGCGUGGGGAGCGAACAGGAUUAGAUACCCUGGUAGUCCACGCCGUAAACGUUGGGCGCUAGAUGUGGGGCACCAUUCCACGGUUUCCGUGUCGCAGCUAACGCAUUAAGCGCCCGCCUGGGGAGUACGGCCGCAAGGCU
This 530-nucleotide ribosomal RNA is filed under the name uncultured bacterium. RNAcentral's name for it is "partial 16S ribosomal RNA". It matches the Rfam family "Bacterial small subunit ribosomal RNA", at positions 355 to 895 of the family's 1533-position model. The record is from RNAcentral.